Molecule: ribosomal RNA, 253 nt
Filed under: uncultured bacterium
Lineage: Bacteria
Description: partial 16S ribosomal RNA
Rfam family: Bacterial small subunit ribosomal RNA
Source: RNAcentral
UACGUAGGGUGCGAGCGUUAAUCGGAAUUACUGGGCGUAAAGGGUGCGCAGGCGGCGUCGCAAGUCAGGCGUGAAAUCCCCGGGCUUAACCUGGGAACUGCACUUGAAACUACGAUGCUGGAGUAUGGCAGAGGGGGGUGGAAUUCCACGUGUAGCGGUGAAAUGCGUAGAGAUGUGGAGGAACACCGAUGGCGAAGGCAGCCUCCUGGGCCAAUACUGACGCUCAUGCACGAAAGCGUGGGGAGCAAACAGG